CUACGGGCCGCAGCAGUGGGGAAUAUUGCGCAAUGGGCGAAAGCCUGACGCAGCAACGCCGUGUGAGGGAUGAAGGCUUUCGGGUCGUAAACCUCUGUCAGAGGGGAAGAACGGGUAUUGGUCUAAUAGGCCUUUAUUUUGACGGUACCUUCAGAGGAAGCACCGGCUAACUCCGUGCCAGCAGCCGCGGUAAUACGGAGGGUGCAAGCGUUAUUCGGAAUUACUGGGCGUAAAGCGCACGUAGGCCGCUUUGUAAGUCAGGGGUGAAAUCCCACGGCUCAACCGGGGAACUGCCUUUGAAACUGCAGAGCUUGAAUCCUGGAGAGGGUGGCGGAAUUCCUGGUGUAGGAGUGAAAUCCGUAGAUAUCAGGAGGAACACCGGUGGCGAAGGCGGCCACCUGGACAGGUAUUGACGCUGAGGUGCGAAAGUGUGGGGAGCAAACAGGAUUAGAUACCCCCGUAGUC
RNAcentral lists this ribosomal RNA (465 nucleotides) under uncultured bacterium. Its description in RNAcentral is "partial 16S ribosomal RNA". It matches the Rfam family "Bacterial small subunit ribosomal RNA", at positions 339 to 795 of the family's 1533-position model. The record is from RNAcentral.